GCACAGAGUUAGCCGGUGCUUAUUCUUGGGGUACAGUCAAACACUUGCGUGCUUUCUUCCCCCACAAAAGUGCUUUACAACCCGAAGGCCUUCUUCACACACGCGGCAUUGCUGGAUCAGGCUUUCGCCCAUUGUCCAAUAUUCCCCA
This 148-nucleotide ribosomal RNA is filed under the name uncultured bacterium. Its description in RNAcentral is "partial 16S ribosomal RNA". The record is from RNAcentral.